This 1236-nucleotide ribosomal RNA is filed under the name metagenome. RNAcentral describes it as "bacterial LSU rRNA". It matches the Rfam family "Bacterial large subunit ribosomal RNA", at positions 1564 to 2808 of the family's 2925-position model. The record is from RNAcentral.
UGAAUACGAGAUGCUACGGCAUCGAAGCAGUCUAUGUCAUACUUCCAAGAAAAGCUUGCACUGUCAUAAACAAAUAAUGCCUGUACCAUAACCGACACAGGUGGGUAGGUAGAGUAUACUAAGGGGCGCGAGAUAACUCUCUCUAAGGAACUCGGCAAAAUGACUCCGUAACUUCGGGAGAAGGAGUGCCUUAUUUUAUAAGGUUGCAAUAACAAGGUCCAAGCAACUGUUUACCAAAAACACAGGUCUCCGCUAAGUCGUAAGACGAUGUAUGGGGGCUGACGCCUGCCCAGUGCCAGAAGGUUAAAGAAGUUGGUUAGCAUUAGCGAAGCUGAUAACUGAAGCCCUGGUGAACGGCGGCCGUAACGAUAACGGUCCUAAGGUAGCGAAAUUCCUUGUCGGGUAAGUUCCGACCCGCACGAAAGGCGUAAUGAUUUGGAUACUGUCUCGGAGAGGGGCUCGGUGAAAUAGACUUGUCUGUGAAGAUGCGGACUACCUGCACCAGGACAGAAAGACCCUAUGAAGCUUUACUGUAACUUGAGAUUGAAAUUGGACUUUAUUUGCGCAGUAUAGGUGGGAGACGUUGAAAAUAUUCUUGCGGGAAUAUUGGAGUCAUCAGUGAGAUACCACUCUUAUAAUGUUAGAUUUCUAACUUUGUAUCAUUAUCUGGUCAAAGAACAGUCUCAGGCGGGCAGUUUGACUGGGGCGGUCGCCUCCCAAACGGUAACGGAGGCGCACAAAGGUUUCCUCUGAACGUGUAGAAAUCGUAUCUAGAGUGUAAAGGCAUAAGGAAGCUUGACUGUGAGACCUACAAGUCGAGCAGGGACGAAAGUCGGUCUUAGUGAUCUGACGGUGCUGAGUGGAAAGGCCGUCACUCAACGGAUAAAAGUUACUCUAAGGAUAACAGGCUGAUCUCCCCCAAGAGUUCACAUCGACGGGGAGGUUUGGCACCUCGAUGUCGGCUCAUCGCAUCCUGGGGCGGUAGUACGUCCCAAGGGUUGGGCUGUUCGCCCAUGAAAGCGGUACGCGAGCUGGGUUCAGAACGUCGUGAGACAGUUCGGUCCAUAUCCGGUGUAGGCGUUAGAAUAUUGAGAGGAGCCUUCUUUAGUACGAGAGGACCGAGAAGGACAUACCUCUGGUGUACCAGUUAUCGUGCCAACGGUAAACGCUGGGUAGCUAUGUAUGGAGAGGAUAACCGCUGAAAGCAUCUAAGUGGGAAGCCCACCUCAAGAUAAG